Long non-coding RNA from Asparagus officinalis (garden asparagus), 930 nucleotides. RefSeq lists it as uncharacterized. The transcript is spliced from 3 exons. NCBI's taxonomy places the organism in Eukaryota, Viridiplantae, Streptophyta, Magnoliopsida, Asparagales, Asparagaceae. The record is from RefSeq and is a predicted model, not a curated record.
UAUUCUUUGUUUUUAGCCUUAUCUGCGUGAAUUUGAAUAAUUACUUUGUUAUAGGCAACAUAGCAUCCUUGAUUAAUGUAGAAAUGUGAUGCCAUCUUGAUCUUUGUUCAGGUUGAGAGAUUUGUGACAGGCUUUGUAGUUGUAAUAUUUUAGAUCUGGGACAAAUUGAGACAUAGCCAAGAGAAUGAACCCUGUAACACAAGGCUUAGCUAUUUUUAACUCAACCUACCUGAGUAUUAUGUGAUGUUUCAAGCUUAAAAAGAUCAUUUCCUCUUAAUAUCAUAGGCUUUCAAAUGGGUGAUCCCUUAAGGGCCAACAGACACUGAUAUUUGAUGUACGAGGACAAAAACAAGCUCAAAUAUGAGGAUGAAAUAUGUGCUUAAAUAUAAAAUAUCAAACAUAACCAGCAAGUUGUUAACAUGUUUCUCAAAUGAUUAAUGGAUUGCCAAAUUCUGCACCUCUACAUAUGUUUCCACAGGUCAGGCUUCUCCUACAUUAUAAUCUUCAAACUACCUCACCCAAAUGUAUCUCAUAACAGCAUUCUCUCCAGGGAGCUCCCAAUGUGGGUGGAGGUGUUGGUGGUGGGUCUCUUGAUUUCCUUAGAAAUAAUGAACAGUUGGUUUAGAGAUGAAGGCAGAUGCGUAUACCUGGAAUGGAAGAAGGAAAAAAAUAGCUACGUCUUUUAUUGAGAACAUGUCCAAUUACUUUGACAACAUAGAUGCAAAAGGUCAGAUUCGGAAGCUAGCAGAUCAAAACUCCAUCGGCCUUCAGUUCUGUUCUUCAGGAUGUGCUCUUUGCAGCUGAGGAUUAGUUUUUUUAUUAGUAUUGUGUUUUUUAUGCUAUGUUAAUUUUUUUGAGUGACUAUUUGUUGAGAAUUUUCAAGUGCUGGAUGCAAUUAUCUAGUUUCCAUUUUGAAGUGUUGGAUGCAAG